This 998-nucleotide ribosomal RNA is filed under the name Epistominella sp. RNAcentral's name for it is "SSU rRNA". It matches the Rfam family "Eukaryotic small subunit ribosomal RNA", at positions 1160 to 1801 of the family's 1831-position model. Lineage: Eukaryota; Foraminifera; Rotaliida; Pseudoparrellidae. The record is from RNAcentral.
AAGGGCACCACAAGAACGCGUGGAGCAUGUGGCUUAAUUUGACUCAACGCGGGAAAUCUUACCGGGUCCGGACACACUGAGGAUUGACAGGCAAUAUUAAUUUCUGAGUUCGCUCAGUUAUUAUGUUAAAUAUGCUAGUCCUUUCAUGAUUAUGUGAUAGGUGGUGCAUGGCCGUUCUUAGUUCGUGGAGUGAUCUGUCUGCUUAAUUGCGUUUCACUAAGGGCCUAUAAAUUUACGUGUGUUGCGGCACUUUGACCCCUCUUAUUUAUUUAAGAGCGCGCGUCUUAGUUUGCUUAGCUCACACAAUUAGGUCCUGAAAGCAACGAACGUGACCGCAACCUCUUGUUGCCUUUAUACCAAACAUGUUUAUUACCUUCGGGUGUUUUCAUGAAAAAAGGCUUUUUAAACUAGAGGGACCGCUGUUACUUUCUUAAACCAGAGGAAGGUUGCGGCAAUAACAGGUCUGUGAUGCCCUUAGAUGUUCCGGGCUGCACACGUGCUACAAUGAUUAUUGCAGUGAGCAUCUCAUUUUUUACACACCGCAUACGCGAGUCCAUUUAUUUCAUCUUUCGGGGUGCUUUUAAAUGUGUAUCUCUGCGAGCGGUAAAGCCUGCUUCGAAAGUAAGUAGGUAAUCAAUUAGAAGUAAUGAUUUCCUUUUUUUUAGCACACAUAUAUACGGCGUUUAUACCCGGGCUGCCUUGUUGUAGCUUUUGUGCGUAUAGAUGUUUUUUCCGUAUGUGCGAUUGUCAAUUCAUGGUGGGGACAGACCAUUGUUAAUUGUUGGUCUCGGUCUUAACUAGGAAUGCCUUGUACGGGUCUUUGGUUCAACAAACCACCCGGAAUACGUCCCUGCCCUUUGUACACACCGCCCGUCGCUCUUACCGAUGGACUUCUCUGUGAGUUUGAGGGACUGGGAACGCAAUGAUUUAUCAUUUGCACACCUAUGGAAACUUAAACGAACAGUGUGGUCUAAAGGAAAGAGAAGUCGAACAAGGCA